RNAcentral lists this small nuclear RNA (161 nucleotides) under Theobroma cacao (cacao). RNAcentral's name for it is "snRNA U1". It matches the Rfam family "U1 spliceosomal RNA". Rfam says of the family: U1 is a small nuclear RNA (snRNA) component of the spliceosome (involved in pre-mRNA splicing). Its 5' end forms complementary base pairs with the 5' splice junction, thus defining the 5' donor site of an intron. There are significant differences in sequence and secondary structure between metazoan and yeast U1 snRNAs, the latter being much longer (568 nucleotides as compared to 164 nucleotides in human). Lineage: Eukaryota; Viridiplantae; Streptophyta; Magnoliopsida; Malvales; Malvaceae. The record is from Rfam by way of RNAcentral.
UCACUUGCCAGGACGGGGCGUAUAGGCGAUGAAGAAGGCCCGUGGCCUAGGUUGGCGGCCCACAUUGCACUUGGUGGGUUCGCCAGCUUAACAUCUCCCUAAGUGGGAGAGUGUACGUCACAAUUUGUGGCAGCGGGGGCCUUCGUUCGCGCGCCCCCUGU